Molecule: long non-coding RNA, 560 nt
Organism: Hippocampus comes (tiger tail seahorse)
Lineage: Eukaryota; Metazoa; Chordata; Actinopteri; Syngnathiformes; Syngnathidae
Exons: 2
Source: RefSeq, a predicted model, not a curated record
GGGACGUUCGGGAAAUUAAGUGACCCCACCACUCAGUGAAAAUCGUGACUCAUGAUCAUCUGACAACAUCGAGAUGCACCAAGUCCAAAAAAAAAUAGAUAAGUCAGUAAUUCAUCUUAAUCAUUAACAGCUCUUUCAGCACAAAUGGUGCGCCCUGACAAAGGACUCAAUGGAAAAAUUCACAACAGCUGUUUAUUUAUUGAUCAAUUUAUUUAUUUAGUUAAAGGAUGUCCACUUUGAAUCUUUCCUAUGAAUCUUAGGGUCUCUGGGUCGCUACCUGCUGAUGACACUGUUAAACUCUAUCUGCAGUUAUUGUAGUGGUGAAAUUAUAAAAGAAUUGUAUGAUGAUUGUUCCAAUAGUGUUGUGCAAUGCGUUCCAGGAUACAAAAUAAUCACUUGCCCAAUUCACCAGCAAGAAAGGAGGGAACCCUUCAUCCCAGGAACAUUCAGGGGCCGGCCUAACCAAUGUGGUGCCCUAGCUGAGAUUUUAUCUGGCCCCUGCAAAAGACGUCGAAUUUGUAACAUUACUUUUAAGUCAUAAAAUAACUGUUAAUGGUUUA